This 445-nucleotide ribosomal RNA is filed under the name uncultured bacterium. Its description in RNAcentral is "partial 16S ribosomal RNA". It matches the Rfam family "Bacterial small subunit ribosomal RNA", at positions 354 to 796 of the family's 1533-position model. The record is from RNAcentral.
GUGAGGAAUCUUCCACAAUGGGCGCAAGCCUGAUCCAGCCAUGCCGCGUGCAGGAAGACGCAUCUAUGGUGUGUAAACUGCUUUUGUACGGGAAGAAACACUCCCUCGUGAGGGAGCUUGACGGUACCGUAAGAAUAAGGAUCGGCUAACUCCGUGCCAGCAGCCGCGGUAAUACGGAGGAUCCAAACGUUAUCCGGAAUCAUUGGGUUUAAAGGGUCCGUAGGCGGUUUAAUAAGUCAGUGGUGAAAGCCCAUCGCUCAACGAUGGAACGGCCAUUGAUACUGUUAGACUUGAAUUACAAGGAAGUAACUAGAAUAUGUAGUGUAGCGGUGAAAUGCUUAGAUAUUACAUGGAAUACCAAUUGCGAAGGCAGGUUACUACUUGUGGAUUGACGCUGAUGGACGAAAGCGUGGGGAGCGAACAGGAUUAGAAACCCGAGUAGUCC